ACCGUCUCAGUUCGGAUCGCAGGCUGCAACCCGCCUGCGUGAAGUCGGAAUCGCUAGUAAUCGCGGAUCAGCAUGCCGCGGUGAAUACGUUCCCGGGCCUUGUACACACCGCCCGUCACACCAUGAGAGUCGGGAACACCCGAAGUCCGCAGCCUAACCGCAAGGAGGGCGCGGCCGAAGGUGGGUUCGAUAAUUGGGGUGAAGUCGUAACAAGGUAGC
Molecule: ribosomal RNA, 219 nt
Filed under: uncultured bacterium
Lineage: Bacteria
Description: partial 16S ribosomal RNA
Rfam family: Bacterial small subunit ribosomal RNA
Source: RNAcentral